This 245-nucleotide ribosomal RNA is filed under the name uncultured bacterium. RNAcentral's name for it is "partial 16S ribosomal RNA". It matches the Rfam family "Bacterial small subunit ribosomal RNA", at positions 524 to 768 of the family's 1533-position model. The record is from RNAcentral.
UACGGGGGGAGCAAGCGUUGUUCGGAAUUACUGGGCGUAAAGGGCGCGUAGGCGGCCUGACAAGUAGGUGGUGAAAUCCCUGGGCUUAACUCAGGGUCUGCCAUCUAAACUGUCGAGCUGGAGUGUGGGAGAGGAGAGUGGAAUUCCUGGUGUAGCGGUGAAAUGCGUAGAUAUCAGGAGGAACACCGGUGGCGAAGGCGGCUCUCUGGACCACAACUGACGCUGAGGCGCGAAAGCUAGGGGAG